Molecule: ribosomal RNA, 279 nt
Filed under: uncultured bacterium
Lineage: Bacteria
Description: partial 16S ribosomal RNA
Rfam family: Bacterial small subunit ribosomal RNA
Source: RNAcentral
UGCCAGCCGCCGCGGUAAUACGGAGGGAGCGAGCGUUAAUCGGAAUUACUGGGCGUAAAGCGCGCGUAGGCGGCUUUGUAAGUCGGAUGUGAAAGCCCUGGGCUCAACCUGGGAAUGGCAUUCGAUACUGCAGAGCUAGAGUAUGGUAGAGGGAAGUGGAAUUUCCGGUGUAGCGGUGAAAUGCGUAGAUAUCAGGAGGAACAUCGGUGGGGAAGCCGGCGGACUGGCCAAAUACUGACGCUCAGACCCGAAAGCAUGGGGAUCAAACAGGAUUAGAUA